RNAcentral lists this ribosomal RNA (141 nucleotides) under Pseudo-nitzschia fraudulenta. Its description in RNAcentral is "partial Bacterial large subunit ribosomal RNA". It matches the Rfam family "Bacterial large subunit ribosomal RNA", at positions 1593 to 1731 of the family's 2925-position model. The record is from RNAcentral. Lineage: Eukaryota; Bacillariophyta; Bacillariophyceae; Bacillariales; Bacillariaceae.
ACGACCUUUAUUCUUCCAAGAAAAGCUUGAAUCAUUUAUACAUAAGAAAAUCUGUACCCGAAACUGGCACAAGUAGGUAGGUAUAUUAUACUAAGGGGCUCGAGAGACUUCUCUCUAAGGAACUCGGCAAAAUGACUCCGU